Molecule: ribosomal RNA, 265 nt
Filed under: uncultured bacterium
Lineage: Bacteria
Description: partial 16S ribosomal RNA
Rfam family: Bacterial small subunit ribosomal RNA
Source: RNAcentral
GUCCUAGCCGUAACGAUGGGUACUAGGCGUUGGGAGGAUUAAACCUUUCAGUGCCGAAGCUAACGCAUUAAGUACCCCACCUGGGUAGUACGACCGCAAGGUUGAACUCAAAGGAAUUGACGGGGACCCGCACAAAUGGUGGAGCAUGUGGUUUAAUACGACGAUACGCGUGAAACCUCACCCAGGCUUGACAUGUACUGGACGAAUUAUAGAAAUAUAGUUCUUCCCUCACGGGACUGGUACACAGGUGUUGCAUGGCUGUCGU